GUGCCAGCCGCCGCGGUAAUACGGAGGGUGCAAGCGUUGUUCGGAAUUAUUGGGCGUAAAGCGCGUGUAGGUGGUCGGGUAAGUCAGAUGUGAAAGCCUUCUGCUUAACAGAAGAAGUGCAUUUGAAACUGCUCGGCUAGAGUACGGGAGAGGAGAGUGGAAUUCCCGGUGUAGAGGUGAAAUUCGUAGAUAUCGGGAGGAACACCAGUGGCGAAGGCGGCUCUCUGGUCCGAUACUGACGCUGAGACGCGAAAGCGUGGGGAGCAAACAGGAUUAGAUACCCCUGUAGUCC
This 292-nucleotide ribosomal RNA is filed under the name uncultured bacterium. RNAcentral describes it as "partial 16S ribosomal RNA". It matches the Rfam family "Bacterial small subunit ribosomal RNA", at positions 505 to 796 of the family's 1533-position model. The record is from RNAcentral.